Molecule: ribosomal RNA, 253 nt
Filed under: uncultured bacterium
Lineage: Bacteria
Description: partial 16S ribosomal RNA
Rfam family: Bacterial small subunit ribosomal RNA
Source: RNAcentral
UACAGAGGGUGCAAGCGUUGUUCGGAAUUACUGGGCGUAAAGGGCGCGUAGGCGGCCCGCUAAGUCGAACGUGAAAUCCCCGAGCUCAACUCGGGAACUGCGUCCGAUACUGGCGGGCUUGAAUCCGGGAGAGGGAUGCGGAAUUCCAGGUGUAGCGGUGAAAUGCGUAGAUAUCUGGAGGAACACCGGUGGCGAAGGCGGCAUCCUGGACCGGCAUUGACGCUGAGGCGCGAAAGCGUGGGGAGCAAACAGG